CCAAUAGCGUAUAUUAAAGUUGUUGCAGUUAAAAAGCUCGUAGUUGAACUUCGGGGUUUACCCAUUGGUCAGGCUUAAUUGUCUGCACUGGUGAGAUGAAUCUCUACCUUCUGAGGAACUUUCAUGCCAUUUAUUUGGUGUGAUGGGAAAUCAGGACUGUUACUUUGAAAAAAUUAGAGUGUUUAAAGCAGGCUAACGUCUGAAUACAUUAGCAUGGAAUAAUGAAAUAGGACGGACUGAUUCUAUUUCGUUGGUUUCUAGGAUCACCGUAAUGAUUAAUAGGGAUAGUUGGGGGCAUUAGUAUUCAAUUGUCAGAGGUGAAAUUCUUGGAUUUAUUGAAGACUAACUACUGCGAAAGCAUUUGCCAAGGAUGUUUUCAUUAAUCAAGAACGAAAGUUAGGGGAUCGAAGACGAUCAGAUACCGUCGUAGUCUUAACCAUAAACUAUGCCGACUAGGGAUCGGACGAAGUUAAUUUUAUAAUGACGCGUUCGGCACCUUCCG
Molecule: ribosomal RNA, 502 nt
Filed under: uncultured Glomeromycotina
Lineage: Eukaryota; Fungi; Glomeromycota
Description: partial small subunit ribosomal RNA
Rfam family: Eukaryotic small subunit ribosomal RNA
Source: RNAcentral